UGGGAUAACGCCGGGAAACCGGGGCUAAUACCGGAUAGUUUUUUCCUCCGCAUGGAGGAAAAAGGAAAGGCGGCUUCGGCUGCCACUUACAGAUGGGCCCGCGGCGCAUUAGCUAGUUGGCGGGGUAACGGCCCACCAAGGCAACGAUGCGUAGCCGACCUGAGAGGGUGAUCGGCCACAUUGGGACUGAGACACGGCCCAAACUCCUACGGGAGGCAGCAGUAGGGAAUCUUCCGCAAUGGACGAAAGUCUGACGGAGCAACGCCGCGUGAGUGAAGAAGGCCUUCGGGUCGUAAAACUCUGUUGCCGGGGAAGAACAAGUGCCGUUCGAACAGGGCGGCGCCUUGACGGUACCCGGCCAGAAAGCCACGGCUAACUACGUGCCAGCAGCCGCGGUAAUACGUAGGUGGCAAGCGUUGUCCGGAAUUAUUGGGCGUAAAGCGCGCGCAGGCGGCUUCUUAAGUCUGAUGUGAAAUCUUGCGGCUCAACCGCAAGCGGUCAUUGGAAACUGGGAGGCUUGAGUGCAGAAGAGGAGAGUGGAAUUCCACGUGUAGCGGUGAAAUGCGUAGAGAUGUGGAGGAACACCAGUGGCGAAGGCGGCUCUCUGGUCUGUAACUGACGCUGAGGCGCGAAAGCGUGGGGAGCAAACAGGAUUAGAUACCCUGGUAGUCCACGCCGUAAACGAUGAGUGCUAAGUGUUAGAGGGUUUCCGCCCUUUAGUGCUGCAGCUAACGCAUUAAGCACUCCGCCUGGGGAGUACGGCCGCAAGGCUGAAACUCAAAGGAAUUGACGGGGGCCCGCACAAGCGGUGGAGCAUGUGGUUUAAUUCGAAGCAACGCGAAGAACCUUACCAGGUCUUGACAUCCUCUGACCUCCCUGGAGACAGGGCCUUCCCCUUCGGGGGACAGAGUGACAGGUGGUGCAUGGUUGUCGUCAGCUCGUGUCGUGAGAUGUUGGGUUAAGUCCCGCAACGAGCGCAACCCUUGACCUUAGUUGCCAGCAUUGAGUUGGGCACUCUAAGGUGACUGCCGGUGACAAACCGGAGGAAGGUGGGGAUGACGUCAAAUCAUCAUGCCCCUUAUGACCUGGGCUACACACGUGCUACAAUGGAUGGUACAAAGGGCUGCGAGACCGCGAGGUUAAGCCAAUCCCAGAAAACCAUUCCCAGUUCGGAUUGCAGGCUGCAACCCGCCUGCAUGAAGCCGGAAUCGCUAGUAAUCGCGGAUCA
RNAcentral lists this ribosomal RNA (1228 nucleotides) under Heyndrickxia coagulans. Its description in RNAcentral is "bacterial SSU rRNA". It matches the Rfam family "Bacterial small subunit ribosomal RNA", at positions 139 to 1351 of the family's 1533-position model. Lineage: Bacteria; Bacillati; Bacillota; Bacilli; Caryophanales; Bacillaceae. The record is from RNAcentral.